GCGAGUAUGGCCCUCAUGGGUCUAAUCCACCAUAAACACCUUUGUGAACCAGUCAGGGGGACUCGGCCGUGAAAGCCCAGGCGAUUAGCGGAAGGGCCCUCCUUUGCAAACCCGUUUAGAAGUCUUGAAAGUACUUUUGUAUAAUCUAGUA
RNAcentral lists this unclassified non-coding RNA (151 nucleotides) under soil metagenome. RNAcentral's name for it is "partial internal transcribed spacer 1". The record is from RNAcentral.